CAAUAGCGUAUAUUAAAGCUGUUGCGGUUAAAAAGCUCGUAGUUGGAUUUCUGUCAAGGACAACUGGUCCGCCCUCCGGGUGAGCACAUAGUUUGGUCUUGACAUCUUGCUGGAAGCUGUUGCUGCACUUGGCUGUGUGGCGCAGUGUUCAGCACUUUCACUUUGAGGAAAUUGGAGUGUUUCAAGCAGGCACAUGCCUUUGGACACAGUAGCAUGGAAUAAUUAGAUUGGGCUUUUGCUCCAAUUUGUCGGUUUCUGGAGCUGAGGUGAGUAUUAAUGGGGAUUGUUGGGGGCAUCUGAAUUUAGCCGUCAGAGGUGAAAUUCUUGGAUCUGCUAAAGACGGACAACUGCGAAAGCGUUUGCCCAGGAUGUUUUCAUUGA
RNAcentral lists this ribosomal RNA (381 nucleotides) under uncultured eukaryote. RNAcentral describes it as "partial 18S ribosomal RNA". It matches the Rfam family "Eukaryotic small subunit ribosomal RNA", at positions 592 to 976 of the family's 1831-position model. The record is from RNAcentral.